Molecule: long non-coding RNA, 2856 nt
Organism: Mustela putorius furo (domestic ferret)
Lineage: Eukaryota; Metazoa; Chordata; Mammalia; Carnivora; Mustelidae
Source: Ensembl
UCUAAUGCAGUUUCGGCUGGUAAUUGUGCUUUCACAGAAAGAGUCAUGUGCAUUGUUUCUGAGAAAUGAAAUUAAAAAGUGACUACAAAACAAAAAGAAAUCAACUAGCAAUUCUAUUUUUUUUGUUGUUGUUGUUAAGGUUCUAUUUAUUUAUUUGAAAGAGAGAGAGAUCAUGAGUGGAGAAAAGUCAGUGGGAGAAGCAGGCUCCCUGCCGAGCAGAGAGCCCCAUGCGGGACUCAAUUCCAGGACUCCAGGAUCAUGAUCAGAGCCGAAGGCAGUCGCUUAACCAACUGACCCACCAGGUGCCCUCAACUUGUAAUUCUUAAGUAACCUUCCGAUUUCGUCAGUGGGCAUUUGACAUUCCCUGAUUACUUCCCCAGAUUCAUUUUAUAUGAGACAGAGGAAACCACAUCUUGCAAAGCCAGAAACAGCUCUCUUCCUUAAAUGUAAUUUUCAUUGUCAUUGAAAGUGACAGAUUUUUGACAAAACUCAGUGUUCACUCUGAACUAUUAUAGCAGUUCAUUUUCCAACAGCAAGUAAUUCCAACUCAACACAGUGCUUAAUGUAGAUGUUCGGUUCAUGUGCUAAAUCUCGUAAACCCCUAACUGUUCAAUUUACUUCAUAUAGGGAAACUCGGGGUCAACCUGGAGCAGUUCCUUACAGAAAAGAAACAGAGCUGCUACAAUACUUUGAACUCCAGGGAAUGUCACAAUGCAUCCAAAUAGCCCAGGUAUUGCCCUGUGGAAUGAGGGAGAAAGUACCCUGCCUUCUUUGAAGGGACUCAAUACCCACACUCUCCCUCAUGGAACCAACUACUUUGAAUAUUAGGAUAAACUACAGAGGAAAACUGAGGAAUUUCCUUCAAUUUGGUAAUUAUUCAUCCAUUAUUUCACAAAUAUUUUUGAAAAAAUUAUCAAUUGUGCUAAAGAUUAGAGUCUGGCAGAGGAAGAUGUCUAAACCCAUUAAAAGCACUAAAAAGUAUAAAUUCUGAAAUAGAAGAUUUUAAGUCUGCUUGGAGGAAGGAGGCAUAAAAGACAUAAUAAAAGCCAAAGAAUGUUCUAGUUAACUGUGUUAUAUUAUUUCUAACAUUCUCUUAUUAACCACUCCCUCUUUUCCCCUUCCCUUUUCCCAGAUAAAGCGAGAGAGAGAAUAUAAAUAAAAGAAACAGCAUAAGGUACAUCAUGAGUGGUUAAAUAUUCAUAGCUGUUAUCUUCAAUCUAUUUUCUUUUUUCUCUCCCUCUCUCUCUUUCCUCCCUGCUUCCUUCCUGCCUGCCUUCCUUUCUUCCUUUUUCCUUCCUUCCUUCUUUCCCCCUUCCUUCCUUUCUCCCUCCCACUUUCUCUCUUUUUCUUUCUUUCUUUCUUUCUUCCUUCCUUCCUUCCUUCCUUCCUUUCUUUCUUUCUUUCUUUCUUUCUUUCUUAAUACCAUUCAACUAAAUAGUUUUAUUUGACUAAUAACUCAGAAGGAUAAGUGGGGGGAGGGGCCAUAAUAUGCCCCUGGGCUCCUGACGGAAGGACCACUGUAGGUAUCCUUGGGGAAAGAACUCCUCAGAAUGUUCCAAAAUGACAAAAAGGGGAAAAUGGGAUUUUCUGACUUAUGUAUGUGAAACUGCAUUUCAUAGAAUUUUUUUUUAAUUAAUUAAUUUAUUUUCAGAAAAACAGUGUUCAUUAUUUUUUCACCACACCCAGUGCUCCAUGCAAUCCGUGCCCUCUAUAAUACCCACCACCUGGUACCCCAACCUCCCACCCCCCCGCCACUUCAAACCCCUCAGAUUGUUUUUCAGAGUCCAUAGUCUCUCAUGAUUCACCUCCCCUUCCAAUUUCCCCCAACUCCCUUCUCCUCUCUAAGACCCCUUGUCCUCUAUGAUAUUUGUUAUGCUCCACAAAUAAGUGAAACCAUAUGAUAAUUGACUCUCUCUGCCUGACUUACUUCAUUCAGCAUAAUCUCUUCCAGUCCCGUCCAUGAUGCUACAAAUGUUGGGUAUUCAUCCUUUCUGAUGGAGGCAUAAUACUCCAUAGUGUAUGUGGACCACAUCUUCCUUAUCCAUUCGUCCGUGAAGGGCAUCUUGGUUCUUUCCAUAGUUUGGCGACCAUGGCCAUUGCUGCUAUAAACAUUGGGGUACAGAUGGCCCUUCUUUUCACGACAUCUGUAUAUUUGGGGUAAAUACCCAGGAGUGCAAUUGCAGGGUAAUAGGGAAGUUCUAUUUUUUAUUUCUUGAGGAAUCUCCACACUGUUCUCCAAAGAGGCUGCACCAACUUGCAUUCCCACCAACUUGCAUUCCCACCAACAGAGAAAGAGUGUUCCCCUUUCUCCACAUCCUCUCCAACACAUGUUGUUUCCUGUUUUGUUAAUUUUGGCCAUUCUAACUGGUGUAAGGUGAUAUCUCAAUGUGGUUUUAAUUUGAAUCUCCCUGAGGGCUAGUGAUGAUGAACAUUUUUUCAUGUGUCUGAUAGCCAUUUGUAUGUCUUCAAUGGAGAAGUGUCUGUUCAUAUCUGCCCAUUUUUUGAUAUGUUUGCCUGUUUCAUGUGUGUUGAGUUUGAGGAGUUCCUUAUAGAUCCUGGAUAUGAACCUUUUGUCUGUACUGUAAUUUGCAAAUAUCACAUUCUGUGGGUUGUCUCUUUGUUUUUUCGACUGUUUCCUUUGCUGUGCAGAAGCUUUUGAUUUUGAUGAAGUCCCAAAAGUUUAUUUUGCCUUUUGUUUCCUUUGCCUUUGGAGACAUAUCUUGAAAGAAUUUUUGCUAAAAGUUAAUCCUGAGUGAUGAUGCUUCCAAAUAAUUUGCUCAAAUGUGUAUUCCUCUUGUUUUAAUCCUGUUCCUGGUAGUUUAAAGAUACCAAUAAAGCCAUAUGUAUUCUAAAAUC